GGCGAACGAACUCUCCCACCCCUCCGGGGCCCCGCGGGCGCGCUGCUUCCCAGAAAAUACGGUAAAAAGCCUUCAGCCUAAAAAUGCUGAAAGUUUUCCUGGACCAGCUGAACACUUUCUUCUCCUGUAAUCUGUCGUGACUGUCAGAGUGCCAAGAGACAUGCCAGACCCUGGGCCACAAUAGUGCUACAGAAUGCCCAGAGAGGAAAGCUGGCACAAGGUGCAACUGCUCUGCACUGGACGCUGUGCAAGCAUACAAAUAACCACAGUCCCUGUGGCAGCAGAUCCAACAGCUCAGCACAGAUCUAGCCCCAGGGGCUCAUCCUGGGCAGGGAGUGCAACCCUCAAGCUCCAACACCAUCCUGAGCUGACAGCUGCCCUCCUCCCCCCCAGCCACCUCCAAGCCAUUCACGGAGCGAUCCUCCAAAUGAUUUUUCUGGAAAACCAAUUAAAGGAGGAGUUACAUCACACAGCAGCCAGCCCAACCGGCACUGCGUUGUGCUGAUGAGCCCUGCCUGUAUU
Long non-coding RNA from Centrocercus urophasianus (Greater sage-grouse), 522 nucleotides. RefSeq lists it as uncharacterized. Lineage: Eukaryota; Metazoa; Chordata; Aves; Galliformes; Phasianidae. The record is from RefSeq and is a predicted model, not a curated record. The transcript has 3 exons.